UGAAUGAAUUUAAAAUGUUCUAAAAACUUGUAGAAACCAAUAUUGUAUGUUUAUUUUUUUCUAUGUUUUUAUCCUCAGGAAAGAAACAACAUAAACCAGGAAAAAAGGUUGGAACCAGGAAUACCUACCAUAAAGAAUGCUGCUGAUGGUGACCUUGAAAUCCCAAUAGGAAUCAUCUUCAAUGGUGAAAACGGAAGUCCAGAGCAAGAACUGAACCCCUCCCAGCUGGGGAUCCUUCUAGAGGGCAAUGUGGUAAUGGAGUCCAUCUGCAGUCUUCCUUUGGCAAUGUGUCUCCUGUUUGGACUGACUUAUGCACUCCACUUGGAGUACCCAAAGUGCAUGAAGAAUACAUUCCUGUUUAUCCAGCAGAUUAUGCUGAAUCUGGGACGAAACGAUCCUCCUCCAAAACUCCAAAGGCUAAAAA
Molecule: long non-coding RNA, 424 nt
Organism: Oreochromis aureus
Lineage: Eukaryota; Metazoa; Chordata; Actinopteri; Cichliformes; Cichlidae
Exons: 2
Source: RefSeq, a predicted model, not a curated record